CGAAGNNCGAAAGGGCGCACGGUGGAUGCCUUGGCAUCGCAAGGCGACGAAGGACGCGGUAAGCUGCGAUAAGCCCCGGGGAGCGGCAAACACGCUUUGAUCCGAGGAUUUCCGAAUGGAGCAAUCCGUCAGUCGAAGAGACUGUCAUCGGCGGAUGAAUGCAUAGUCCGUCGAAGCGACACGCGGGGAAGUGAAACAUCUCAGUACCUGCAGGAGAAGAAAACAACAGUGAUUGCGCAAGUAGCGGCGAGCGAACGCGCAGUAGCCCAAACCGGGGAGCUUGCUCCCCGGGGUUGCGGGACCACGACGUGGGAUCGCCUCUCGGUAGGGGAACGGCCUGGAAAGGCCGGCGAUACAGGGUGAAAGCCCCGUACCCGAAACCGCGAGCGGCCCUAGUGGGAUCCCAAGUAGGACGGAACACGUGAAACUCCGUCCGAAUCCGGGGGGCCCAUCCCCCAAGGCUGAAUACUAGGCGAUGACCGAUAGCGAACCAGUACCACGAGGGAAAGGUGAAAAGAACCCCUGUCAGGGGAGUGAAACAGACCUGAAACCGUGUGCCUACAAGGUGUCGUGGCCCUUCGGGGUUGCGGCAUGCCUUUUGCAUAAUGAGUCCGCGAGUCAUCGCGUCCGGCAUGGCUAAGCCCGUAUGGCGGAGCCGAAGCGAAAGCGAGUCCGAAAGGGGCGCUUUCGUCGGAUGCGGUGGACCAGAAGCCAGGCGAGCUAUCCUUGGGCAGGCUGAAGGGGCGGUAACACGCCCUGGAGGGCCGAACCGGUAGGUGCUGAAAAACCUUCGGAGGACCUGAGGAUUGGAGCGAAAGACUUAUCAAGCUUGGUGAUAGCCGGUUCUCCCCGAAAUAACUUUAGGGUUAGCCCCGGAAUGAAACCGUCGAAGGUAGAGCACUGUUUAGCCGAAGGCCUCUAGCGAGGUACCGACGCUUGGCAAACUCCGAAUGUCGGCGGCGUCCUGUCCGGGAGAUAGACGGCGAGAGAUAAGUUCCGUCGUCGAGAGGGAAACAGCCCAGACUUCCAGCCAAGGCCCCCAAACCGCGCUCAGUCACGAAGGAUGUGGGGUCUCGAUGACAGCCAGGAUGUUGGCUUAGAGGCAGCCAUCAUUUAAACAUUGCGUAACAGCUGACUGGUCGAGAGACCCCGCGCCGAAAAUGAUCGGGAGUAAGCGCGNNAGCCUCCGUGGACUGCAUGCAAGCGAUUAUGCGGACAUGAGUAACGAAAAACCGGGUGAGAAUCCCGGUCGCCGGAAUUCCAAGGUUUCCCGGGGCAGGUUCGUCCGCCCGGGGUCAGCCGGAUCCUAAGGCAAGGCCGAAAGGCGUAGUCGAUGGACAUCGGGUCAACAUUCCCGAGCCGGGCAAGCUUCGAAAGGGUUCGCGGAAGAAGGUUCUGCAGGGGUCAUCGGAUUCCCCGGAUGAAGGGUUCGCCCGGAUUCCGCGCAGCGCCUUCACGCCGCCAAGAAAAGCCCCGUAGUUACGGCUUGCUCGUCCGUACCAAAACCGACACAGGUGGAAUGGUAAGCGAAUACCAAGGCGCGCGAGUGAAACCUCGUUAAGGAACUCGGCACACUGGCCCCGUAACUUCGGAAGAAGGGGUCCCGGGACUCGAUCCCGGGCGCAGUGAAAGAGCCGUGGCGACUGUUUAACAAAAACAUAGCACUCUGCCAACCCGCAAGGGGACGUAUAGAGUGUGACACGUGACCAAUGCGGAAAGGUCAAGGCAAGGGGUCAGCCGCAAGGCGAAGCUCCGAACCAAAGCCCCCGUGAAUGUCGGCCGUAACUAUAACGGUCCUAAGGUAGCGAAAUUCCUUGUCGGG
This 1822-nucleotide ribosomal RNA is filed under the name bovine gut metagenome. RNAcentral's name for it is "bacterial LSU rRNA". It matches the Rfam family "Bacterial large subunit ribosomal RNA", at positions 1 to 1976 of the family's 2925-position model. The record is from RNAcentral.